This is a non-coding RNA of Ceratotherium simum simum (southern white rhinoceros), 198 nucleotides long. NCBI's taxonomy places the organism in Eukaryota, Metazoa, Chordata, Mammalia, Perissodactyla, Rhinocerotidae. The record is from RefSeq and is a predicted model, not a curated record.
AAAAAGCAGCUUUUGCACUCAGCACAACUGAGACAAGUGUCAUAAUACCUGGCUCUGCUGGCUAUUAACAACAACAGGGAGUACCCCCAGAAAAGCUAUCGGAUAUAAGGGGGAAAAAGAGCCUGCUCUUAAAGGUCCCAAGCACAAAUUCACUCAUUUUGGAAAGCAACCUAAAAUCACCAGAAAGAAAGGAGCACA